This 972-nucleotide non-coding RNA is filed under the name Caracara plancus (crested caracara). RNAcentral describes it as "12S ribosomal RNA". It matches the Rfam family "Bacterial small subunit ribosomal RNA". The record is from RNAcentral. Lineage: Eukaryota; Metazoa; Chordata; Aves; Falconiformes; Falconidae.
AAAGACUUAGUCCUAACCUUUCUGUUGGUUUUUGCCAAACAUAUACAUGCAAGUAUCUGCGACCCAGUGUAAAUGCCCUAAAUCUCUUACUAAGACAAAAGGAGCGGGCAUCAGGCACACCAGCCGUAGCCCAAAACGCCUUGCUCAGCCACACCCCCACGGGUACUCAGCAGUAAUUAACAUUAAGCAAUAAGCGUAAGCUUGACUUAGUUAUGGCAACACCCCAGGGCUGGUAAAUCUUGUGCCAGCCACCGCGGUCAUACAAGAAGCCCAAGCCAACAACUACACGGCGUAAAGAGUGGACCAGAGCUUAUCAACAACAACUAGGGUCAAAAUGCAACUGAGCUGUCAUACGCCUAAGAUGCCCCUAAGAUCAACCUCAAAACGACCCCAGCACCCCACGAUCAAUCAACCCCCACGAAAGCUGGGAUACAAACUGGGAUUAGAUACCCCACUAUGCCCAGCCCUAAAUCCCGAUGCUCACCUCACCAAAGCAUCCGCCCGAGAACUACGAGCACAAACGCUUAAAACUCUAAGGACUUGGCGGUGCCCCAAACCCACCUAGAGGAGCCUGUCCUAUAAACGACAACCCCCGCUACACCCGACCGCCUCUUGCCAAAACAGCCUACAUACCGCCGUCGCCAGCUCACACCAACUGAGGGAUCCACAGUGAGCACAAUAGCCCACUAACCGCUAGCACGACAGGUCAAGGUAUAGCUCAUGAGACGGAAGAGAUGGGCUACAUUUUCUAGAUUAGAACAUCCACGAAAGGGGGCAUGAAACUACCCCCGGAAGGCGGAUUUAGCAGUAAAGCAAGACAAUAAAGCCCGCUUUAAGUCGGCCCUGGGGCACGUACAUACCGCCCGUCACCCUCCUCACAAGCUAUCAAUCAACAAUAAUUAAUAACCACACUAGCUAAAGAUGAGGUAAGUCGUAACAAGGUAAGUGUACCGGAAGGUGUACUUAGCACAC